RNAcentral lists this ribosomal RNA (198 nucleotides) under uncultured bacterium. RNAcentral's name for it is "partial 16S ribosomal RNA". It matches the Rfam family "Bacterial small subunit ribosomal RNA", at positions 328 to 539 of the family's 1533-position model. The record is from RNAcentral.
ACGCUCGACACCUACGGGAGGCAGCAGUGGGGAAUAUUGCACAAUGGGGGAAACCCUGAUGCAGCGACGCCGCGUGAGCGAAGAAGUAUUUCGGUAUGUAAAGCUCUAUCAGCAGGGAAGAAACUGACGGUACCUGACUAAGAAGCACCGGCUAAAUACGUGCCAACAGCCGGCGGUAAUCUGAGCGGCUGGCAAGGC